Molecule: ribosomal RNA, 253 nt
Filed under: uncultured bacterium
Lineage: Bacteria
Description: partial 16S ribosomal RNA
Rfam family: Bacterial small subunit ribosomal RNA
Source: RNAcentral
UACGUAGGGAGCAAGCGUUGUCCGGAAUCAUUGGGCGUAAAGCGCGCGUAGGUGGCCUCAUAAGUCCGCUGUGAAAGUCAAAGGCUCAACCUUUGAAAGCCGGUGGAUACUGUGGGGCUAGAGUACGGAAGAGGCGAGUGGAAUUCCUGGUGUAGCGGUGGAAUGCGCAGAUAUCAGGAGGAACACCAAUAGCGAAGGCAGCGCGCUGGGACGUUACUGACACUGAGGCGCGAAAGCGUGGGGAGCGAACAGG